Molecule: unclassified non-coding RNA, 465 nt
Filed under: Hevea brasiliensis (rubber tree)
Lineage: Eukaryota; Viridiplantae; Streptophyta; Magnoliopsida; Malpighiales; Euphorbiaceae
Source: RNAcentral
UGAAGUGUAAAGGAAAAGCCCUUUAUCCAUAUUUGCACCUUCAAAUUCAAUUACAGUCAAAAUCAAAUAACAAGUAAUUCUAAAGAUAUCUAUCUAUACAAAUAUCUAAAUGGAAAUCUAGAUGAUAAAAUCAAAUAAUGAAACCUAAUCUUCCCAUACCUCUGCCUUCCUUGUAAAAGCCGAAUCUGCAUCCGCCAUAGACUCAAUUCGCCGCAACUUAAAACGCAUUUUUCAAUGAAGAAAAGGGAGAAGGAUAAUCGAAAAGGCAGAUUACGAGUUUGUGCGUGAAUCUGAAAUAUGCCUCUUCCUCUUGAGUCUUUGCCUCAUUUCGAAGGCUGACGAUGGCCAAUGGACACAGAGAGAGACAGGGGACGAUGACGACCAGGUACUUUAGAUUGUUUGCGAUUAGGUAAAGAUUAGAUUCGGCGUACGCGUGUGCCCUAAUUCACUUUCACUUCGGUUUUG